This 76-nucleotide transfer RNA is filed under the name Hordeum vulgare. RNAcentral's name for it is "tRNA-OTHER". Lineage: Eukaryota; Viridiplantae; Streptophyta; Magnoliopsida; Poales; Poaceae. The record is from RNAcentral.
UUAGUGGUGGCCUAGUUGGUUAGCGCAUGGGUUUGCAAUCACGGGGUCUGGGGUUCGAAUCCCACGCACCCCUAUU